RNAcentral lists this ribosomal RNA (497 nucleotides) under uncultured bacterium. RNAcentral describes it as "partial 16S ribosomal RNA". It matches the Rfam family "Bacterial small subunit ribosomal RNA", at positions 28 to 507 of the family's 1533-position model. The record is from RNAcentral.
GAUGAACGCUGGCGGCGUGCCUAAUACAUGCAAGUCGAGCGAACGGACGAGAAGCUUGCUUCUCUGAUGUUAGCGGCGGACGGGUGAGUAACACGUGGAUAACCUACCUAUAAGACUGGGAUAACUUCGGGAAACCGGAGCUAAUACCGGAUAAUAUUUUGAACCGCAUGGUUCAAAAGUGAAAGACGGUCUUGCUGUCACUUAUAGAUGGAUCCGCGCUGCAUUAGCUAGUUGGUAAGGUAACGGCUUAUCAAGGCAACGAGGCAUAGCCGACGGGAGAGGGUGAUAGGCCACCCUGGAGCGUGGCCACGGUCCAGGCGCCUACGGUAGGCAGCAGUAGGGAAUGUGAGGCAAUGGGCGAAAGCCUGGCGGAGCAACGCCGCGUGAGUUAUGAAGGUCUUCGGAUCGUAAAACUCUGUUAUUAGGGAAGAACAUAUGUGUAAGUAACUGUGCACAUCUUGACGGUACCUAAUCAGAAAGCAACGGCUAACUACGUG